UGAUUUUACAAUGAUGAUAAAUUACUAAUCCCAGCUCUAUGACAAUGUUCAUUUGUUGGACAUUGAAUGAGUAUUCUUAGUUUUCAAUCUGAGCAAUUCA
This 100-nucleotide small nucleolar RNA is filed under the name Zostera marina. The record is from RNAcentral. Lineage: Eukaryota; Viridiplantae; Streptophyta; Magnoliopsida; Alismatales; Zosteraceae.